This 460-nucleotide ribosomal RNA is filed under the name uncultured bacterium. RNAcentral's name for it is "partial 16S ribosomal RNA". It matches the Rfam family "Bacterial small subunit ribosomal RNA", at positions 338 to 795 of the family's 1533-position model. The record is from RNAcentral.
CCUACGGGUGGCAGCAGUGAGGAAUAUUGGUCAAUGGGCGCAAGCCUGAACCAGCCAAGUAGCGUGAAGGAUGACUGCCCUACGGGUUGUAAACUUCUUUUAUAAAGGAAUAAAGUGAGGCACGUGUGCCUUUUUGUAUGUACUUUAUGAAUAAGGAUCGGCUAACUCCGUGCCAGCAGCCGCGGUAAUAAGGAGGAUCCGAGCGUUAUACGGAUUUAUUGGGUUUAAAGGGAGCGUAGAUGGGUUGUUAAGUCAGUUGUGAAAGUUUGCGGCUCAACCGUAAAAUUGCAUUUGAUACUGGCAGCCUUGAGUACAGUUGAGGUAGGCGGAAUUCGUGGUGUAGCGGUGAAAUGCUUAGAUAUCACGAAGAACUCCGAUUGCGAAGGCAGCCUACUAAACUGCCACUGACAUUGAUGCUCGAAAGUGUGGGUAGCAAACAGGAUUAGAUACCCUUGUAGUC